UGAACGCUGGCUGUGUGCCUAAUACAUGCAUGUCGAGCGAGGUUCUUUUGAACCUAGCGGCGAAUGGGUGAGUAACACGUGCUUAAUCUACCCUUUAGAUUGGAAUACCCAAUGGAAACAUUGGCUAAUGCCGGAUACGCAUGGAACCGCAUGGUUCCGUUGUGAAAGGAGCCUCAAAGCUCCGCUAGAGGAUGAGGGUGCGGAACAUUAGUUAGUUGGUAGGGUAAUGGCCUACCAAGACUAUGAUGUUUAGCCGGGUCGAGAGACUGAACGGCCACAUUGGGACUGAGAUACGGCCCAAACUCCUACGGGAGGCAGCAGUAGGGAAUAUUCCACAAUGAGCGAAAGCUUGAUGGAGCGACACAGCGUGCACGAUGAAGGUCUUCGGAUUGUAAAGUGCUGUUAUAGGGAAAGAACACUUGGUUGAGGAAAUGCUUCCAAGCUGACGGUACCCUGUCAGAAAGCGAUGGCUAACUAUGUGCCAGCAGCCGCGGUAAUACAUAGGUCGCAAGCGUUAUCCGGAAUUAUUGGGCGUAAAGCGUUCGUAGGCUGUUUAUUAAGUCUGGAGUUAAAUCCCAGGGCUCAACCCUGGCUCGCUUUGGAUACUGGUAAACUAGAGUUAGAUAGAGGUAAGCGGAAUUCCAUGUGAAGCGGUGAAAUGCGUAGAUAUAUGGAAGAACACCAAAGGCGAAGGCAGCUUACUGGGUCUAUACUGACGCUGAGGGACGAAAGCGUGGGGAGCAAACAGGAUUAGAUACCCUGGUAGUCCACGCCGUAAACGAUGAUCAUUAGUCGGUGGAGAGUUCACUGACGCAGCUAACGCAUUAAAUGAUCCGCCUGAGUAGUAUGCUCGCAAGAGUGAAACUUAAAGGAAUUGACGGGGACCCGCACAAGCGGUGGAGCAUGUGGUUUAAUUUGAAGAUACGCGGAGAACCUUACCCACUCUUGACAUCCUUCGCAAUGCUAUAGAGAUAUAGCGGAGGUUAACGGAGUGACAGAUGGUGCAUGGUUGUCGUCAGCUCGUGUCGUGAGAUGUUUGGUCAAGUCCUGCAACGAGCGCAACCCCUAUCUUUAGUUACUAACGAGUCAUGUCGAGGACUCUAGAGAUACUGCCUGGGUAACCGGGAGGAAGGUGGGGAUGACGUCAAAUCAUCAUGCCUCUUACGAGUGGGGCAACACACGUGCUACAAUGGUCGGUACAAAGAGAAGCAAUAUGGCGACAUGGAGCAAAUCUCAAAAAGCCGAUCUCAGUUCGGAUUGGAGUCUGCAAUUCGACUCCAUGAAGUCGGAAUCGCUAGUAAUCGCAGAUCAGCUACGCUGCGGUGAAUACGUUCUCGGGUCUUGUACACACCGCCCGUCACACCAUGGGAGCUGGUAAUACCCAAAGUCGGUUAGCUAACCUCGGAGGCGACCGCCUAAGGUAGGACUGGUGACUGGGGUGA
Molecule: ribosomal RNA, 1442 nt
Filed under: Metamycoplasma gateae
Lineage: Bacteria; Bacillati; Mycoplasmatota; Mycoplasmoidales; Metamycoplasmataceae
Description: Mycoplasma gateae 16S ribosomal RNA
Rfam family: Bacterial small subunit ribosomal RNA
Source: RNAcentral